Molecule: ribosomal RNA, 253 nt
Filed under: uncultured bacterium
Lineage: Bacteria
Description: partial 16S ribosomal RNA
Rfam family: Bacterial small subunit ribosomal RNA
Source: RNAcentral
UACAGAGGGUGCGAGCGUUAAUCGGAAUUACUGGGCGUAAAGCGUGCGCAGGCGGUUGUGCAAGACAGAUGUGAAAUCCCCGGGCUUAACCUGGGAACUGCAUUUGUGGCUGCACGGCUAGAGUACGGCAGAGGGGGAUGGAAUUCCGCGUGUAGCAGUGAAAUGCGUAGAUAUGCGGAGGAACACCGAUGGCGAAGGCAGUCCCCUGGGCCUGUACUGACGCUCAUGCACGAAAGCGUGGGGAGCAAACAGG